UCCCUGGUGGCUCAGAUGGUAAAGCGUCUGCCUGCAAUGCAGGAGACCUGGGUUCGAUCCCUGGGUCGGGAA
Transfer RNA from Ovis aries (sheep), 72 nucleotides. It matches the Rfam family "tRNA". From Rfam's summary of the family: Transfer RNA (tRNA) molecules are approximately 80 nucleotides in length. The record is from Rfam. NCBI's taxonomy places the organism in Eukaryota, Metazoa, Chordata, Mammalia, Artiodactyla, Bovidae.